Molecule: ribosomal RNA, 430 nt
Filed under: Microbacterium oxydans
Lineage: Bacteria; Bacillati; Actinomycetota; Actinomycetes; Micrococcales; Microbacteriaceae
Description: bacterial SSU rRNA
Rfam family: Bacterial small subunit ribosomal RNA
Source: RNAcentral
AGCUCUGUGGGAUCAGUGGCGAACGGGUGAGUAACACGUGAGCAACCUGCCCCUGACUCUGGGAUAAGCGCUGGAAACGGCGUCUAAUACUGGAUAUGUGACGUGACCGCAUGGUCUGCGUCUGGAAAGAAUUUCGGUUGGGGAUGGGCUCGCGGCCUAUCAGCUUGUUGGUGAGGUAAUGGCUCACCAAGGCGUCGACGGGUAGCCGGCCUGAGAGGGUGACCGGCCACACUGGGACUGAGACACGGCCCAGACUCCUACGGGAGGCAGCAGUGGGGAAUAUUGCACAAUGGGCGCAAGCCUGAUGCAGCAACGCCGCGUGAGGGACGACGGCCUUCGGGUUGUAAACCUCUUUUAGCAGGGAAGAAGCGAAAGUGACGGUACCUGCAGAAAAAGCGCCGGCUAACUACGUGCCAGCAGCCGCGGUAAU